This 752-nucleotide ribosomal RNA is filed under the name uncultured bacterium. RNAcentral's name for it is "bacterial SSU rRNA". It matches the Rfam family "Bacterial small subunit ribosomal RNA", at positions 47 to 805 of the family's 1533-position model. The record is from RNAcentral.
UCGAACGGGGAUAAGACAUCGGAAGAGCUGCUUGCAGAAUGGAAGAAGUCAUAUUCUAGUGGCGGACGGGUGAGUAACGCGUGGGCAACCUGCCUUAUACAGGGGGAUAACAGCUGGAAACAGCUGCUAAUACCGCAUAAGCGCACAGCGGCGCAUGACGCAGUGUGAAAAACUGAGGUGGUAUAAGAUGGGCCCGCGUCUGAUUAGCUGGUUGGGAGGGUAACGGCCUACCAAGGCGACGAUCAGUAGCCGGCCUGAGAGGGCGGACGGCCACAUUGGGACUGAGACACGGCCCAGACUCCUACGGGAGGCAGCAGUGGGGAAUAUUGCACAAUGGGGGGAACCCUGAUGCAGCGACGCCGCGUGAGUGAAGAAGUAUUUCGGUACGUAAAGCUCUAUCAGCAGGGAAGAAAAAAGGACGGUACCUGAGUAAGAAGCCCCGGCUAACUACGUGCCAGCAGCCGCGGUAAUACGUAGGGGGCAAGCGUUAUCCGGAAUUACUGGGUGUAAAGGGAGCGUAGACGGCAAUGCAAGUCCGGAGUGGAAUGCGGCAGCUCAACUGCCGAACUGCUCUGGAAACUGUAUGGCUUGAGUGCAGGAGGGGUAAGCGGAAUUCCCUGUGUAGCGGUGAAAUGCGUAGAUAUUAGGAAAAACACCAGUGGCGAAGGCGGCUUACUGGACUGUAACUGACGUUGAGGCUCGAAAGCGUGGGGAGCAAACAAAAGUAGAUACCCUGGUAGUCCACGCCGUAA